CCCUACGGGGCGCAGCAGGCGCGAAAACUUUACAAUGCGGGAAACCGUGAUAAGGGAACUCUGAGUGCCCGUAAAAUCGGGCUGUCCAUCAGUUUAAAAAACUGGUGAAGAAAGGGCCGGGCAAGACCGGUGCCAGCCGCCGCGGUAAUACCGGCGGCUCGAGUGGUGGCCACUAUUACUGGGCUUAAAGCGUUCGUAGCUGGUUUGUUAGGUCUCUGGGGAAAUCUUCCGGCUUAGCCGGAAGGCGUCUCAGGGAUACUGGCAGACUAGGGACCGGGAGAGGUGAGAGGUACUCCAGGGGUAGGAGUGAAAUCCUGUAAUCC
This 323-nucleotide ribosomal RNA is filed under the name uncultured archaeon. RNAcentral's name for it is "bacterial SSU rRNA". It matches the Rfam family "Archaeal small subunit ribosomal RNA", at positions 321 to 648 of the family's 1478-position model. The record is from RNAcentral.